Molecule: unclassified non-coding RNA, 926 nt
Filed under: Hevea brasiliensis (rubber tree)
Lineage: Eukaryota; Viridiplantae; Streptophyta; Magnoliopsida; Malpighiales; Euphorbiaceae
Source: RNAcentral
GAUUCAUGAAAGCAGAAUCAACAUCCUAACAUCAAGUAAUAAACCACAAUGUAUCGCUAUGAUAAACACAACGAUCCUAACACUAAACGCAGAGAGAAAACAAACUCCCCCAAGAGAAAAUAUUCUUGAAACUAAACCAAAGAAAAUAUGAACACUCCCAAGUCUCAACGAUGUUAUGUCAUACUCAUAUCCAAUCCCCCAUUACACCUGGAUAUGGGCAGCACUUACCUCAAACUAAGUCGUUACAAGCUUAAGCUUUAGCAUCAGUUUUGCUGCUUGUAGAACCAGGUGCAUUAACAGCCUCUUCAAGAGGUGCUCGAUUGACUUUUUCACCCUCUUUAUCGUCACCCUCGUUGAUGUCAUUGUCAUCUUCAUCAUCCCCUCCAAAUGCAUUAGCACCCAAGCCUUCGCCAGCACCAAUACCGAGUUUCGAAAAGUCCAAGUUGCUAAAGUCCAUAUCGUUGGCAGAGUUAUUUCCUUUUUCUUCAUCUUCAUCAAUCCAUUUGUCCCAAUCAAUUUUCACGAAAACAGGAGGUUUCCCUUCUUGCUUCAACAAUCUGCUCCACCACUUCUUUUCAGCCUUUUCUAUCAAGUACCUGAUGUUUCUCAUGCCAACACUAGCCUUGCUCUCAUUUAUGUCCACUUUAUCAUACAGCUCAAUGUCAACUUCAUAUGGAAUCUUCUCUGCUCCACUAACUGCAGAAAAGGAAAAGUUCCCUUCAGGUUCCAACUUAAGCUUCACAUCCUGGGCAUCUGGCAAGUCAAUUGUUAUGAAUAGCCUAUCUGAUGUCUGUGCCCAUCUUAAAGUAGGGUGUCGGCUCAUGUUUGGGACUCGAUGAACGAAAUCGCAAUCGAAUUGUAUUCGGGUGCUAAUCGAAUCGUUACAGAGGAAGAAAUGGGAAACGAAGACAAAGCCAUGGGAUAAA